Molecule: long non-coding RNA, 370 nt
Filed under: Androctonus crassicauda
Lineage: Eukaryota; Metazoa; Arthropoda; Arachnida; Scorpiones; Buthidae
Source: RNAcentral
CAUUUAUCAAUCUAUCACUUCUUGGUCACUCAUUUAUUCCUUUUUUACCCCAGACUUUAUUUCCACAAUGCAUCCCUUACACAUACAAAUGCACACUCCUUUUGGUAUGUUUUAUUUACACAAAACAUAUCCAUCCUAUAUUUAUACAUUUCAUACAAGUUCCUGUUCAUUCCUUUUUAUUUGUCUAUUCACAUUCCACACACUCAAUUUCCAUUCAUACUUCUGUAAGGAUGCUGCAAUGGGUUAUAUCAGAUGGACCGAGUUGUCAAUUUGUAAUAGUGUUGCAAGCCAAAAUCGUACACGGUCGCGUAAGCAAGUGGCACAGGGAUCCAGGAAUGAGUGAUUGACUUGAACAUAAUAUAACUGAAAG